AGAGUUUGAUCAUGGCUCAGAUUGAACGCUGGCGGCAGGCCUAACACAUGCAAGUCGAACGGUAACAGAAAGCAGCUUGCUGCUUUGCUGACGAGUGGCGGACGGGUGAGUAAUGUCUGGGAAACUGCCUGAUGGAGGGGGAUAACUACUGGAAACGGUAGCUAAUACCGCAUAACGUCGCAAGACCAAAGAGGGGGACCUUCGGGCCUCUUGCCAUCGGAUGUGCCCAGAUGGGAUUAGCUUGUUGGUGGGGUAACGGCUCACCAAGGCGACGAUCCCUAGCUGGUCUGAGAGGAUGACCAGCCACACUGGAACUGAGACACGGUCCAGACUCCUACGGGAGGCAGCAGUGGGGAAUAUUGCACAAUGGGCGCAAGCCUGAUGCAGCCAUGCCGCGUGUAUGAAGAAGGCCUUCGGGUUGUAAAGUACUUUCAGCGGGGAGGAAGGGAGUAAAGUUAAUACCUUUGCUCAUUGACGUUACCCGCAGAAGAAGCACCGGCUAACUCCGUGCCAGCAGCCGCGGUAAUACGGAGGGUGCAAGCGUUAAUCGGAAUUACUGGGCGUAAAGCGCACGCAGGCGGUUUGUUAAGUCAGAUGUGAAAUCCCCGGGCUCAACCUGGGAACUGCAUCUGAUACUGGCAAGCUUGAGUCUCGUAGAGGGGGGUAGAAUUCCAGGUGUAGCGGUGAAAUGCGUAGAGAUCUGGAGGAAUACCGGUGGCGAAGGCGGCCCCCUGGACGAAGACUGACGCUCAGGUGCGAAAGCGUGGGGAGCAAACAGGAUUAGAUACCCUGGUAGUCCACGCCGUAAACGAUGUCGACUUGGAGGUUGUGCCCUUGAGGCGUGGCUUCCGGAGCUAACGCGUUAAGUCGACCGCCUGGGGAGUACGGCCGCAAGGUUAAAACUCAAAUGAAUUGACGGGGGCCCGCACAAGCGGUGGAGCAUGUGGUUUAAUUCGAUGCAACGCGAAGAACCUUACCUGGUCUUGACAUCCACGGAAGUUUUCAGAGAUGAGAAUGUGCCUUCGGGAACCGUGAGACAGGUGCUGCAUGGCUGUCGUCAGCUCGUGUUGUGAAAUGUUGGGUUAAGUCCCGCAACGAGCGCAACCCUUAUCCUUUGUUGCCAGCGGUCCGGCCGGGAACUCAAAGGAGACUGCCAGUGAUAAACUGGAGGAAGGUGGGGAUGACGUCAAGUCAUCAUGGCCCUUACGACCAGGGCUACACACGUGUUACAAUGGCGCAUACAAAGAGAAGCGACCUCGCGAGAGCAAGCGGACCUCAUAAAGUGCGUCGUAGUCCGGAUUGGAGUCUGCAACUCGACUCCAUGAAGUCGGAAUCGCUAGUAAUCGUGGAUCAGAAUGCCACGGUGAAUACGUUCCCGGGCCUUGUACACACCGCCCGUCACACCAUGGGAGUGGGUUGCAAAAGAAGUAGGUAGCUUAACCUUCGGGAGGGCGCUUACCACUUUGUGAUUCAUGACUGGGGUGAAGUCGUAACAAGGUAACCGUAGGGGAACCUGCGGUUGGAUCACCU
RNAcentral lists this ribosomal RNA (1530 nucleotides) under Escherichia coli P0302308.1. RNAcentral describes it as "bacterial SSU rRNA". It matches the Rfam family "Bacterial small subunit ribosomal RNA". Lineage: Bacteria; Pseudomonadati; Pseudomonadota; Gammaproteobacteria; Enterobacterales; Enterobacteriaceae. The record is from RNAcentral.